GCAGAUGUAGCUCAGUGGUAGAGCACUUGCCUAGCAUGUCAAAAGCCCUGGGUUCCAUUCCCAAUACUGUA
RNAcentral lists this transfer RNA (71 nucleotides) under Heterocephalus glaber (naked mole-rat). It matches the Rfam family "tRNA". From Rfam's summary of the family: Transfer RNA (tRNA) molecules are approximately 80 nucleotides in length. Their secondary structure includes four short double-helical elements and three loops (D, anti-codon, and T loops). The record is from Rfam by way of RNAcentral. Lineage: Eukaryota; Metazoa; Chordata; Mammalia; Rodentia; Bathyergidae.